This is a long non-coding RNA of Colias croceus (clouded yellow), 315 nucleotides long. RefSeq lists it as uncharacterized. The transcript is spliced from 2 exons. The record is from RefSeq and is a predicted model, not a curated record. NCBI's taxonomy places the organism in Eukaryota, Metazoa, Arthropoda, Insecta, Lepidoptera, Pieridae.
UGUUUGUGACUGUGGUCGUGGCAUUAAUACUGUUAAGGCUUGCUUUAUCUCAAUACCAAUUUUCCAACUAUGAAGACAUCCCUAGCUACAUAAAACGGGCGUUAAAUCAGAAGAAUCGAUACAAAAUGGUGCCAAAAGCGACGAAGCACAUCACUAACUUGACGUUAGAGGAAGUAGUUGAGAAAAUUAAAAAGAUAACGUUCUCUCUGAACCAACACGCUAAAAAGAAUGGGUACUAUGUGGACUAUAAGUUUAGAAUAUUCGAGAAGAAAUGACGUGGCGAUUUGGUUAUCGUAAUAAAGAUUUUUGGUUUGA